AUUGAACGCUGGCGGCAUGCCUUACACAUGCAAGUCGAACGGUAACCGGUCUUCUGCUUCUGCCGGGUCGAGGACGGUUGAGAAAUACAUCGUAACGCGCCCGUACGUUGGGUCAAAGUAGGCGAUAGCUUUGCUAAUACCGCACUCGUUCUACGUAUGAAAUCGGGUGGCCUUCGGACCUCGCGCGGACGGACCGGCCGGUGCGGGAUUAGGUAGUUGGUGGGAUAAAGGCUUACCAAGCCGACGAUCUGUAGCUGGACUGAGAGGAUGAUCAGCCACACUGGGACUGAGACACGGCCCAAACUCCUACGGGAGGCAGCAGUAGGGAAUUUUGGGCAAUGGGCGAAAGCCUGAUGGAGCAAUGCCGCGUGCAGGAAGAAGGCCUUUGGAUUGUAAACUGCUGUUGUAAGGAACGAAAAGCCUAUAGAUAAAAAAGAGGGGUCGUGACGGUACCGUAAGAGAAAGCACCGGCUAACUACGUG
RNAcentral lists this ribosomal RNA (482 nucleotides) under uncultured bacterium. Its description in RNAcentral is "partial 16S ribosomal RNA". It matches the Rfam family "Bacterial small subunit ribosomal RNA", at positions 30 to 507 of the family's 1533-position model. The record is from RNAcentral.